Molecule: ribosomal RNA, 252 nt
Filed under: uncultured bacterium
Lineage: Bacteria
Description: partial 16S ribosomal RNA
Rfam family: Bacterial small subunit ribosomal RNA
Source: RNAcentral
ACGGAGGGUGCGAGCGUUAUCCGGAAUUAUUGGGUUUAAAGGGUCCGUAGGCGGUCUAUUAAGUCAGAGGUGAAAUCUUGUAGCUCAACUAUAAAAUUGCCUUUGAAACUAAUAGACUUGAAACAAUUUGACGUGAGUGGAAUGAGUAGUGUAGCGGUGAAAUGCAUAGAUAUUACUCAGAACACCGAUAGCGAAGGCAGCUCACGAAGAUUGAUUUGACGCUGAUGGACGAAAGCGUGGGGAGCGAACAGG